AUACUUACCUGGCAGGGGAGAUACCAUGAUCACGAAGGUGGUUUUCCCAGGGCGAGGCUUACCCAUUGCACUCCGGGUGUGCUGACCCCUGCGAUUUCCCCAAAUGUGGGAAACUCGACUGCAUAAUUUGUGGUAGUGGGGGACUGCGUUCGCGCUCUCCCCUG
Molecule: small nuclear RNA, 164 nt
Organism: Pteropus vampyrus (large flying fox)
Lineage: Eukaryota; Metazoa; Chordata; Mammalia; Chiroptera; Pteropodidae
Gene: U1
Rfam family: U1 spliceosomal RNA
About the family: U1 is a small nuclear RNA (snRNA) component of the spliceosome (involved in pre-mRNA splicing). Its 5' end forms complementary base pairs with the 5' splice junction, thus defining the 5' donor site of an intron.
Source: Ensembl